Molecule: small nuclear RNA, 107 nt
Organism: Artibeus jamaicensis (Jamaican fruit-eating bat)
Lineage: Eukaryota; Metazoa; Chordata; Mammalia; Chiroptera; Phyllostomidae
Source: RefSeq, a predicted model, not a curated record
GUGCUGACUUUGGUAACACAUAUACUAAAAUUGGAAGGAUACAGAGAAGAUUAGACUGGUCUGUGGACAAGGACGACACACAAAUUUGUGACUUAUUCCAUAUUUGA